RNAcentral lists this ribosomal RNA (500 nucleotides) under uncultured Leifsonia sp. RNAcentral's name for it is "bacterial SSU rRNA". It matches the Rfam family "Bacterial small subunit ribosomal RNA", at positions 9 to 522 of the family's 1533-position model. The record is from RNAcentral. Lineage: Bacteria; Bacillati; Actinomycetota; Actinomycetes; Micrococcales; Microbacteriaceae.
GAGUUUGAUCCUGGCCAGGAUGAACGCUGGCGGCGUGCUUAACACAUGCAAGUCGAACGGUGAAGCAGGAGCUUGCUCCUGUGGAUCAGUGGCGAACGGGUGAGUAACACGUGAGCAAUCUGCCCUGGACUCUGGGAUAAGCGUUGGAAACGACGUCUAAUACCGGAUACGAGACGCGAAGGCAUCUUCAGCGUCUGGAAAGAACUUCGGUCCAGGAUGAGCUCGCGGCCUAUCAGGUAGUUGGUGAGGUAAUGGCUCACCAAGCCUACGACGGGUAGCCGGCCUGAGAGGGUGACCGGCCACACUGGGACUGAGACACGGCCCAGACUCCUACGGGAGGCAGCAGUGGGGAAUAUUGCACAAUGGGCGCAAGCCUGAUGCAGCAACGCCGCGUGAGGGACGACGGCCUUCGGGUUGUAAACCUCUUUUAGCAGGGAAGAAGCGAAAGUGACGGUACCUGCAGAAAAAGCACCGGCUAACUACGUGCCAGCAGCGCGGUA